Molecule: non-coding RNA, 331 nt
Organism: Xyrichtys novacula (pearly razorfish)
Lineage: Eukaryota; Metazoa; Chordata; Actinopteri; Labriformes; Labridae
Source: the annotation of a GenBank genome assembly
UGUCUGUGUCUGUCUGUGAGGGGAGGCCUCAAGGGCUCUCUUCAGGCACACUUGCUUAAGUUAAGAAAGUUGCUCUUUCAGCAAGUGCGCCUGGAGAGAGCCCUCCAGGCUUCCUGCAACACAUUUCUCUUCAACAGACAGGGCCAGACUUUCACCUGGAGUUCACCAGAGUGAGCGCAGGGUAACAGCUCUCUUUGUCUCAUAAACACACACAUCUGCACAUCUUCACUCAUUAUGAUAGAAAUAUCGCUGGACUCUUCAAGCUUAAUGGGAUAUUCUGGCCUAAAAUUAAGUUGGGGUUAAACACACCGUAACACCGAGUUAGACACCC